Molecule: ribosomal RNA, 763 nt
Filed under: Microbacterium aurantiacum
Lineage: Bacteria; Bacillati; Actinomycetota; Actinomycetes; Micrococcales; Microbacteriaceae
Description: partial 16S ribosomal RNA
Rfam family: Bacterial small subunit ribosomal RNA
Source: RNAcentral
GGAUGAACGCUGGCGGCGUGCUUAACACAUGCAAGUCGAACGGUGAAGCCAAGCUUGCUUGGUGGAUCAGUGGCGAACGGGUGAGUAACACGUGAGCAACCUGCCCUGGACUCUGGGAUAAGCGCUGGAAACGGCGUCUAAUACUGGAUAUGAGCUCUCAUCGCAUGGUGGGGGUUGGAAAGAUUUUUCGGUCUGGGAUGGGCUCGCGGCCUAUCAGCUUGUUGGUGAGGUAAUGGCUCACCAAGGCGUCGACGGGUAGCCGGCCUGAGAGGGUGACCGGCCACACUGGGACUGAGACACGGCCCAGACUCCUACGGGAGGCAGCAGUGGGGAAUAUUGCACAAUGGGCGGAAGCCUGAUGCAGCAACGCCGCGUGAGGGAUGACGGCCUUCGGGUUGUAAACCUCUUUUAGCAGGGAAGAAGCGAGAGUGACGGUACCUGCAGAAAAAGCGCCGGCUAACUACGUGCCAGCAGCCGCGGUAAUACGUAGGGCGCAAGCGUUAUCCGGAAUUAUUGGGCGUAAAGAGCUCGUAGGCGGUUUGUCGCGUCUGCUGUGAAAUCCCGAGGCUCAACCUCGGGCCUGCAGUGGGUACGGGCAGACUAGAGUGCGGUAGGGGAGAUUGGAAUUCCUGGUGUAGCGGUGGAAUGCGCAGAUAUCAGGAGGAACACCGAUGGCGAAGGCAGAUCUCUGGGCCGUAACUGACGCUGAGGAGCGAAAGGGUGGGGAGCAAACAGGCUUAGAUACCCUGGUAGUCCACCCCGU